RNAcentral lists this long non-coding RNA (292 nucleotides) under Coturnix japonica (Japanese quail). RNAcentral's name for it is "lncRNA (ENSCJPG00005007139.1)". Lineage: Eukaryota; Metazoa; Chordata; Aves; Galliformes; Phasianidae. The record is from RNAcentral.
CAGAAAUAAUAGCUUUUGUCUACCAAAGCUGCAGAGUCCUGUUGCCAGGCAACUCAGUCCUGAGGCAACAAAACAGAGAGGAACGGGUGUGUGGGAGGACCAAGCCUGAGUGCAAGAGCUGCUGCUUGUGCUGCUGGUUUCCAAGAUUUUUGAAACAUUUUCUGCCUCUCUUCUGAACAGCUCCUAAGCAUCUGACAUACAAAUACUUUCUCUGGAGCUACAGAAGUCCUUAUAGAUAAGGUAAGCUGUUGCUAUGGCUGGUCUUCCUCAGGUGUCUUUGCUCUGAUCAUCA